Molecule: non-coding RNA, 106 nt
Organism: Spinacia oleracea (spinach)
Lineage: Eukaryota; Viridiplantae; Streptophyta; Magnoliopsida; Caryophyllales; Amaranthaceae
Source: Rfam
AUCCCAUGGUGUGGGCACUCCCUUUGAUACUCUUUAAACCGGUCCCAUGCCUCGAACAAUGAUUAAUCUCUCCGUUGUUCAAAUAAUUGGAUUUUAUUUCUAUAUU